UUGGAGGGCAAGUCUGGUGCCAGCAGCCGCGGUAAUUCCAGCUCCAAUAGCGUAUAUUAAAGUUGUUGCAGUUAAAAAGCUCGUAGUUGAAUUUCGGGAUCAAUAUUUCGGUCAUGCCGUUGGUAUGCACUGUUAUCAUUGAUUUCUCACCUUCUAAAGAACCGUAAUGCCAUUAAUUUGGUGUUACGGGGAAUUAGGACUGUUACCUUGAAAAAAUUAGAGUGUUUAAAGCAGGCUCACGCUUGAAUACAUUAGCAUGGAAUAAUGAAAUAGGACAUCCGAUUCUAUUUUGUUGGUUUCUAGGAUCGAUGUAAUGAUUAAUAGGGAUAGUUGGGGGCAUUAGUAUUCAAUUGUCAGAGGUGAAAUUCUUGGAUUUAUUGAAGACUAACUACUGCGAAAGCAUUUGCCAAGGAUGUUUUCAUUAAUCAAGAACGAAAGUUAGGGGAUCGAAGACGAUCAGAUACCGUCGUAGUCUUAACCAUAAGCUAUGCCGACUAGGGAUCGGAUGAUGUUAAUUUUUUAAUGACUCAUUCGGCGCCUUACGGGAAAC
This 550-nucleotide ribosomal RNA is filed under the name uncultured Funneliformis. Its description in RNAcentral is "SSU rRNA". It matches the Rfam family "Eukaryotic small subunit ribosomal RNA", at positions 548 to 1098 of the family's 1831-position model. The record is from RNAcentral. Lineage: Eukaryota; Fungi; Glomeromycota; Glomeromycetes; Glomerales; Glomeraceae.